AAAAAAAUUAUUAUCUUCACCCUACAUAUAGAGGUAGACUCAAGUCAGGUCCUAUUUAGAACCGGUCCAACCCAAAAUUAAAAUCAAUCAAAACCUAAUUGACCAACAUUGGUUUUCAAUUAACCAGUUUGGUCUGGUUUCAGAUUAAAACCAGAUUUUUUUCUUUGUUAAAAAAAUUGGAAAAAAAAAAUUCAACUGUUGGAU
RNAcentral lists this unclassified non-coding RNA (204 nucleotides) under Hevea brasiliensis (rubber tree). The record is from RNAcentral. Lineage: Eukaryota; Viridiplantae; Streptophyta; Magnoliopsida; Malpighiales; Euphorbiaceae.